UGCCCUUUUAACCCAAGAGUGGUGGACCUGU
RNAcentral lists this non-coding RNA (31 nucleotides) under Rattus norvegicus (Norway rat). Lineage: Eukaryota; Metazoa; Chordata; Mammalia; Rodentia; Muridae. The record is from RNAcentral.